Molecule: ribosomal RNA, 209 nt
Filed under: uncultured bacterium
Lineage: Bacteria
Description: partial 16S ribosomal RNA
Rfam family: Bacterial small subunit ribosomal RNA
Source: RNAcentral
UACGUAGGCAGCGAGCGUUGUUCGGAGUUACUGGGCGUAAAGGGUGUGUAGGCGGUUGUUUAAGUUUGGUGUGAAAUCUCCCGGCUCAACUGGGAGGGUGCGCCGAAUACUGAAUGACUUGGAGUGCGGGAGAGGAGAGUGGAAUUCCUGGUGUAGCGGUGAAAUGCGUAGAUAUCAGGAGGAACACCGGUGGUGUAGACGGCUCCUGC